RNAcentral lists this ribosomal RNA (422 nucleotides) under uncultured bacterium. RNAcentral describes it as "bacterial SSU rRNA". It matches the Rfam family "Bacterial small subunit ribosomal RNA", at positions 355 to 774 of the family's 1533-position model. The record is from RNAcentral.
UGAGGAAUAUUGGUCAAUGGGGGCAACCCUGAACCAGCCAAGUCGCGUGAAGGAUGAAGGUCUUAUGGAUUGUAAACUUCUUUUACACGGGAAUAAAGCGGGGGACGUGUCCCCCUUUGCAUGUACCGUGUGAAUAAGGAUCGGCUAACUCCGUGCCAGCAGCCGCGGUAAUACGGAGGAUCCGAGCGUUAUCCGGAUUUAUUGGGUUUAAAGGGUGCGCAGGCGGGAUGUUAAGUCGGCGGUGAAAUUUUGCAGCUCAACUGUAAAAGUGCCUUCGAUACUGGCCUUCUUGAGUGUGGAUGAAGUAGGCGGAAUUUGUGGUGUAGCGGUGAAAUGCUUAGAUAUCACGAGGAACUCCGAUUGCGCAGGCAGCUUACUAAACUACAACUGACGCUCAUGCACGAAGGCGUGGGGAUCAAACA